GAUGAACGCUGGCGGCGUGCCUAAUACAUGCAAGUCGAGCGAACAGAUAAGGAGCUUGCUCCUUUGACGUUAGCGGCGGACGGGUGAGUAACACGUGGGUAACCUACCUAUAAGACUGGAAUAACUCCGGGAAACCGGGGCUAAUGCCGGAUAACAUUUAGAACCGCAUGGUUCUAAAGUGAAAGAUGGUUUUGCUAUCACUUAUAGAUGGACCCGCGCCGUAUUAGCUAGUUGGUAAGGUAACGGCUUACCAAGGCAACGAUACGUAGCCGACCUGAGAGGGUGAUCGGCCACACUGGAAAUGAGACACGGUCCAGACUCCUACGGGAGGCAGCAGUAGGGAAUCUUCCGCAAUGGGCGAAAGCCUGACGGAGCAACGCCGCGUGAGUGAUGAAGGUCUUCGGAUCGUAAAACUCUGUUAUUAGGGAAGAACAAAUGUGUAAGUAACUGUGCACGUCUUGACGGUACCUAAUCAGAAAGCCACGGCUAACUACGUG
Molecule: ribosomal RNA, 497 nt
Filed under: uncultured bacterium
Lineage: Bacteria
Description: partial 16S ribosomal RNA
Rfam family: Bacterial small subunit ribosomal RNA
Source: RNAcentral